Molecule: non-coding RNA, 161 nt
Filed under: pig gut metagenome
Description: Lysine riboswitch
Rfam family: Lysine riboswitch aptamer
About the family: Riboswitches are metabolite binding domains within certain messenger RNAs that serve as precision sensors for their corresponding targets. Allosteric rearrangement of mRNA structure is mediated by ligand binding, and this results in modulation of gene expression.
Source: RNAcentral
GUAGGUAGAGGUGCGGCUUUCAUGAGUACGCCGGAGACAAGAGGAAAUGCUCCGUUUGAAAGGGCAAGCCGCCGAAGUAUUACGUUUUUCCUCAGGAACGUAUUACUGGGCCGACGGGAAAUACCCUUCGGACUGUCACAUAUUUUGUGGAGCGCUAUCUU